AUGUUAAUCUAGAUGCAAAUACUCUCCUGGCUUCACAUGCUUUGUGUACGUUGAAUAUUUUUGUAUAUUAUCUUGGUAAAGAGUAAUGUUAUAGAAAAUCAGGGCUGAUUCCUUACUAAGUGGCCACGUGUUAUCACGGUCCACGUCACUGAGCAUUUUCCUUUGGAAAACUAGCUCUCCUUUUCCUGCGUGCGAGUAGGGCAGUCCGUCUGAAUUUAUUUGCGUUAUAGGCCAGGAUGCGACCUUGGGGUUGGUUUUGUGAGCGCCAACUGUUCUUGCGGCGGGGACAUGCGAUGAUGUUCCAUCGUCCGCGGAAGCACGGGAAGCUGCACGGCCAGAUGUUGAGCAACCUGGCGCCCAACCGGUUUUGGAAACCGGAGGUGAUUCGGGAUGCGUUUGAUAGGGUUUUAAUCUGAGUGGUCUCUGAUGUGUUUGUUAGGGUUUGAGGUUUUUUGAUUGGAACAAUGUUGACUAAAUUCUAGACGAACUGAAACGGGGCGAAGGGGCUGAGCUUUCGCGGCAAGAGGCCGUGGAACUAGGGGAUCCAGCGGCGGUAUUACUUGGAAACUCUUUGCAGCGGUGUGAUCUAGCUGUAGUAUUACAUUAUGGGGACUCUGAUCGCUCGGUUCAACGACAACGGUGGACCGGUCCAUGGGUUCUACAGCUCGCGCCCACUGUCGUUUUGGGCAUAUGGUUGAUGUGCAUGGAUACAGGGGCACAGCCGGCUGUGAUAAGAGUGGAUGGGGAUGCAUGCGUUAACAAUUUUUAUUCUUGCAGCUUGCAAUGCCUUGCCCAUUGUCCCGCAGGGAUUCUAUUGGAGGCGGCCUAAAAUAACAUUCUUAGGUUGGUUGGAAUUGGGUCAAAGCCGCAGCAAAAGCGGUUGGGACCAUACUCAACCUUGGGACACAAAUGGUGAACUUGGAAUACAAACGGCCCUCCUGGGUGCAUCAGGACGAGCUGCCAAUAUCAAGAUGGUCUGCUCAACAUUUUCACUUAGCUAAUAUAUAAAAUAAAAAAGAACAUAUUUAUUGCAUUUUUUUUUUUUUUAUAUUUUUUAUGCACCAAAGAAAAUCAUAUUGUAAUGACUGAGCAUGUUCAAAUCAUCUUCCGUGAAUUGCUUUUCA
Molecule: long non-coding RNA, 1124 nt
Organism: Malania oleifera
Lineage: Eukaryota; Viridiplantae; Streptophyta; Magnoliopsida; Santalales; Ximeniaceae
Exons: 3
Source: RefSeq, a predicted model, not a curated record